This is a long non-coding RNA of Gadus chalcogrammus (walleye pollock), 371 nucleotides long. RefSeq lists it as uncharacterized. The transcript is spliced from 3 exons. The record is from RefSeq and is a predicted model, not a curated record. NCBI's taxonomy places the organism in Eukaryota, Metazoa, Chordata, Actinopteri, Gadiformes, Gadidae.
UGUUUACCUGUGCAGGUAAUGCUCUGUGCCCCUGCUGCGGCUACUGCUUUGUUUCAUUUAUCACUGUCCUCAUGCUUAAAGCCGGUGUGUUUUCACUGCGGAGCAGCGACUUCGUGCUCCGUUUAGUCCCCGGUCUUCUCUAGCGGUGGUAGAUGACUGCUGCCGUGUGGGUCUCUCUCUCCCUCCCUCUCCCUGUGCAGGUUUGACCUUGAAAACAGGGAACGCUCCUCAGCUGGCCGAAAUCUACAGGUGGCGAUUCAUGUGACUCCUCCACCAGCUGAUUGGGGCCAUUGCUGUUUUGUCUCUGCUGCUAAUCACAGUUUCUCUGCUGCUAAUCACAGUUUCUCUGCUGCUAAUCACAGUUUCUCUGC